CAAUAGCGUAUAUUAAUGUUGUUGCAGUUAAAAAGCUCGUAGUUGGAUUUGUGGCGUACGGUGGGUUCCGGGCACUUGUUGUCUGAGUAACUUGCUGUUGCCAUCCUUGGGUGGAACCUGUGUGGCAUUAGGUUGUCGUGCAGGGGAUGCCCAUCAUUUACUGUGAAAAAAUUAGAGUGUUCAAAGCAGGCUUAUGCCGUUGAAUAUAUUAGCAUGGAAUAAUGAGAUAGGACUUUUUUGCUAUUUUGUUGGUUUGCGCAAAGAGGUAAUGAUUAAUAGGGACAGUUGGGGGUAUUCGUAUUCCAUUGUCAGAGGUGAAAUUCUUGGAUUUUUGGAAGACGAACUACUGCGAAAGCAUUUACCAAGGAUGUUUUCAUUAA
Molecule: ribosomal RNA, 380 nt
Filed under: uncultured eukaryote
Lineage: Eukaryota
Description: partial 18S ribosomal RNA
Rfam family: Eukaryotic small subunit ribosomal RNA
Source: RNAcentral